This 46-nucleotide transfer RNA is filed under the name Iberesia brauni. RNAcentral describes it as "tRNA-Leu". The record is from RNAcentral. Lineage: Eukaryota; Metazoa; Arthropoda; Arachnida; Araneae; Nemesiidae.
UAUAUUGGCAGAAUAUUGCACUAGAAUUAGAAUCUAAUUACCUCAU